GACGAACGCUGGCGGCGUGCUUAACACAUGCAAGUCGAACGGAAAGGCCCUGCUUGCAGGGUACUCGAGUGGCGAACGGGUGAGUAACACGUGGGUGAUCUGCCCUGCACUUCGGGAUAAGCCUGGGAAACUGGGUCUAAUACCGGAUAGGAGCCAUUUUUAGUGUGAUGGUUGGAAAGUUUUUUCGGUGUAGGAUGAGCUCGCGGCCUAUCAGCUUGUUGGUGGGGUAAUGGCCUACCAAGGCGGCGACGGGUAGCCGGCCUGAGAGGGUGGACGGCCACAUUGGGACUGAGAUACGGCCCAGACUCCUACGGGAGGCAGCGGUGGGGAAUAUUGCACAAUGGGCGCAAGCCUGAUGCAGCGACGCCGCGUGGGGGAUGACGGCCUUCGGGUUGUAAACUCCUUUCGCCAGGGACGAAGCUUUUUGUGACGGUACCUAGAUAAGAAGCACCGGCUAACUACGUG
RNAcentral lists this ribosomal RNA (465 nucleotides) under uncultured bacterium. Its description in RNAcentral is "partial 16S ribosomal RNA". It matches the Rfam family "Bacterial small subunit ribosomal RNA", at positions 28 to 507 of the family's 1533-position model. The record is from RNAcentral.